UAGGAACUAUGACCGUCCGUUGUUCCGCCUUUCCGAGCGUUCCGCUGGCGUGUUUCUACCGCUUGAAAAUUUAUCGGCUUUGUCGUUAUUUAUACUCGCUGCAAUAUCAUCUCGUUGGGGAAGCCAGGGAACCGGAAAAUUCAGAAAAUUUUCAAACAUGCACCGCCAGUGUUUCAUCUGUGUUAAGCUUGGCAUUUUUUUUUUUCCAAGCUUGCAGAGCCACUUAGUUCGUCAGCUCCGCUCAUCGUGGCAUCUCUGUAUUAUAAAUUUUCUAACAACGGAUAAAUUCUGUACGAAACGGUUCCCGAAGGGAACGAUUCCACCUCACAGACGAAUGUUUACGAAUAUCACCACGUUCGCGUGGUAGGGGACGAGAGAACAAUAACGCACAAACGCGUGUUUGUCCGUGGCAUUAGGUAGCCUCAAAAGAAAACGAGACUCUUGUGUACACUUCUGUUCGUACUCGUGGAAUCUCUUUCAAAACCGCUCUGAAAAUCCUCGGUAUUCCGUGAGAGCGUCAGCGGCAGCCCGGAGUGAAUUAUAGUGACGUGGGAGAGAAAACGAGAGGGUGCUGGGAUACGUGACUGUGGUAGAGUUAAUGAACGAAUCGACUCGGUUCGUGGCAGAACUUCCAACAACGGAAACCUUCCCUCAAACCCUCUGAGGGCGGUUGCUUCGAACGCGACUCGACGCUCAGGACGCGGGAAGAAUGAAGAACGAGCUCGGUCUCUAUGCAAAUUGGAAUUUUAUCAGAAUUGGGAGUAGCGUAGAUCAAGAGUAACUAGUAACUAGCAGAUGUUGUUUGGACUAUAUCUAUCUCAGAGACUUUCGAGAAUAUGUAAAAUAUUAUUGAUUAUUAAAAAAAAGGGAAGUUAAGAAACUACAAUUUCACACAAAAGUUUUUUGGAGAAAUUGAUCGGUG
Long non-coding RNA from Hylaeus anthracinus, 922 nucleotides. RefSeq lists it as uncharacterized. The transcript has 3 exons. The record is from RefSeq and is a predicted model, not a curated record. NCBI's taxonomy places the organism in Eukaryota, Metazoa, Arthropoda, Insecta, Hymenoptera, Colletidae.